GGGCGCAGCGGUAUCCGGAAUUAUUGGGCGUAAAGAGCUCGUAGGCGGUUUGUCGCGUCUGCCGUGAAAGUCCGGGGCUCAACUCCGGAUCUGCGGUGGGUACGGGCAGACUAGAGUGAUGUAGGGGAGACUGGAAUUCCUGGUGUAGCGGUGAAAUGCGCAGAUAUCAGGAGGAACACCGAUGGCGAAGGCAGGUCUCUGGGCAUUAACUGACGCUGAGGAGCGAAAGCAUGGGGAGCGAACAGGAUUAGAUACCCUGGUAGUCCAUGCCGUAAACGUUGGGCACUAGGUGUGGGGGACAUUCCACGUUUUCCGCGCCGUAGCUAACGCAUUAAGUGCCCCGCCUGGGGAGUACGGCCGCAAGGCUAAAACUCAAAGGAAUUGACGGGGGCCCGCACAAGCGGCGGAGCAUGCGGAUUAAUUCGAUGCAACGCGAAGAACCUUACCAAGGCUUGACAUGAACCGGUAAGACCUGGAAACAGGUCCCCCACUUGUGGCCGGUUUACAGGUGGUGCAUGGUUGUCGUCAGCUCGUGUCGUGAGAUGUUGGGUUAAGUCCCGCAACGAGCGCAACCCUCGUUCCAUGUUGCCAGCGCGUUAUGGCGGGGACUCAUGGGAGACUGCCGGGGUCAACUCGGAGGAAGGUGGGGACGACGUCAAAUCAUCAUGCCCCUUAUGUCUUGGGCUUCACGCAUGCUACAAUGGCCGGUACAAAGGGUUGCGAUACUGUGAGGUGGAGCUAAUCCCAAAAAGCCGGUCUCAGUUCGGAUUGGGGUCUGCAACUCGACCCCAUGAAGUCGGAGUCGCUAGUAAUCGCAGAUCAGCAACGCUGCGGUGAAUACGUUCCCGGGCCUUGUACACACCGCCCGUCAAGUCACGAAAGUUGGUAACACCCGAAGCCGGUGGCCUAACCCCUUGUGGGAGGGAGCUGUCGAAGGUGGGACUGAGA
Molecule: ribosomal RNA, 948 nt
Filed under: uncultured bacterium
Lineage: Bacteria
Description: bacterial SSU rRNA
Rfam family: Bacterial small subunit ribosomal RNA
Source: RNAcentral